ACCCAGCCCAAUCUCACAGCUAUGCGUCCAACAUUUGUGUCAACCUGUUAUACAAUGAUGAAAGUUGAGACAUUUUCCAUUACUUCUGGCACAUGUUAAACUAGUUAUAACUUACAGGAAAAGCAAGAUGGUGUAGUGUCAGAAGCCGUACGCACUCCACACUUUUCAGUCCCAAUCCCCUUAUGCUUAGCAGAUACUCUCUACAAGAGCAAAUUCGGUUUUAAUAUAUAUAUAUACUACAUAUUUCAGUAGAUCAAAUAAGAAAUUCACAAUAUGAUAUCUCCAGCAAAACAGGGAUGCCAUGGUGAUAUGCUAACUGCUGCGUUAUACUAAUCCAUUCAAGAACUAAAGUUUUGGGCUUACUUUGCUUUGUCAGGAGGAAUAUCUCUCAACCAUUCCAGAUCAAUGCUUCCAUGUUCUCUUACCAAUCGAUUAAGGAAAUCCUGGAUGAUAUAUAUUGGUUAAUGUCAACUGAUCCCAAAGGCCAUAUAUUUGUGAAUAAAAGCCGAUUAUGCUUACACUGGGAUUCCAGUCUGUAUUUGGCAUUUAGCCAUGGGCGGUGUGAUGCUGAACUUGUGGAUUCUCUUGAUGCCUGAUCUUGGAGAGCCAAAAGGGAUGUAAAGUUCCAUGUUGCUGAGCCGUCGGUGGGAAAUUCUCUGCAUGUUUCGUAAGGGUCACAGUUGCCUGUUUGUGUAGAUCACUUGUGAUGUUCCUAUGUUAUGCUUAAGAGGAGUUUUUGGAAUCCACGAAUUCUCAACUUGACACUCGUUUUGCUUCUCUCUCCCUUCAUCCAUUUCUGGGCUCGGCUAACUG
This is a long non-coding RNA of Jatropha curcas, 813 nucleotides long. RefSeq lists it as uncharacterized. Lineage: Eukaryota; Viridiplantae; Streptophyta; Magnoliopsida; Malpighiales; Euphorbiaceae. The record is from RefSeq and is a predicted model, not a curated record.